Molecule: ribosomal RNA, 660 nt
Filed under: uncultured bacterium
Lineage: Bacteria
Description: bacterial SSU rRNA
Rfam family: Bacterial small subunit ribosomal RNA
Source: RNAcentral
AGUGGCGGACUGGUGAGUAACGCGUGAGAAUCUGCCUUGGGGUCGGGGACAACCACUGGAAACGGUGGCUAAUACCGGAUAAGCCGAUUGGUGAAAGAUUUAUUGCCCGAAGAGGAGCUCGCGUCUGAUUAGCUAGUUGGUGAGGUAAGAGCUCACCAAGGCAGCGAUCAGUAGCUGGUCUGAGAGGACGAUCAGCCACACUGGGACUGAGACACGGCCCAGACUCCUACGGGAGGCAGCAGUGGGGAAUUUUCCGCAAUGGGCGAAAGCCUGACGGAGCAAGACCGCGUGAGGGAGGAAGGCUCUUGGGUUGUAAACCUCUUUUCUCAGGGAAGAAGCUCUGACGGUACCUGAGGAAUCAGCCUCGGCUAACUCCGUGCCAGCAGCCGCGGUAAUACGGAGGAGGCAAGCGUUAUCCGGAAUUAUUGGGCGUAAAGCGUCCGCAGGUGGCGAUUCAAGUCUGCUGUCAAAGCACGGGGCUUAACUCCGUAAAGGCAGUGGAAACUGAAUAGCUAGAGUGCCGUAGGGGUAGAGGGAAUUCCCGGUGUAGCGGUGAAAUGCGUAGAGAUCGGGAAGAACAUCGGUGGCGAAAGCGCUCUACUGGACGGCAACUGACACUCAGGGACGAAAGCUAGGGGAGCGAAUGGGAUUAGAUACCCC